GAUGAACGCUAGCGGCAGGCCUAAUACAUGCAAGUCGAACGGUGUCUUCGGACAUAGUGGCGCACGGGUGCGUAACACGUAUGCAACCUACCUUACAUUGGGGGAUAGCCUUUCGAAAGGGAGAUUAAUACCGCAUAAGACAGUAGCUGGGCAUCCAGCAGCUGUUAAAGAUUUAUCGAUGUAAGCUGGGCAUGCGUCCAAUUAGCUAGUUGGUGAGGUAACGGCUCACCAAGGCAAUGAUUGGUAGGGGAACUGAGAGGUCAAUCCCCCACACUGGCACUGAGAUACGGGCCAGACUCCUACGGGAGGCAGCAGUAGGGAAUAUUGGGCAAUGGACGCAAGUCUGACCCAGCCAUGCCGCGUGCAGGAAGAAGGCGUUAUGCGUUGUAAACUGCUUUUAUAUAGGAAGAAACAGCCCUUGCGAGGGACAUUGACGGUACUAUAUGAAUAAGCACCGGCUAACUCCGUG
Molecule: ribosomal RNA, 469 nt
Filed under: uncultured bacterium
Lineage: Bacteria
Description: bacterial SSU rRNA
Rfam family: Bacterial small subunit ribosomal RNA
Source: RNAcentral